This 121-nucleotide non-coding RNA is filed under the name Ruminococcus flavefaciens. RNAcentral describes it as "THF riboswitch". It matches the Rfam family "THF (Tetrahydrofolate) riboswitch aptamer". From Rfam's summary of the family: THF riboswitch presents a pseudoknot that joins P1-P2 and the loop of P3 and two THF binding. Lineage: Bacteria; Bacillati; Bacillota; Clostridia; Eubacteriales; Oscillospiraceae. The record is from RNAcentral.
AGAGUAAAAACACGUGCGUUACGCUUCGGAUGAGCGUCCGGAGGGUACAGUGUCGGCUGAACGGGGAGUUGUCAGCUGAACGAAAAGCCAGAGGCUUGCGGUUCGUGUUUUGCAUCCCGCU